CACCACCAGGAGUGGAAUCUGCGGCUUAAUUUGACCCAACGCGGGAAAACUCACCAGGUCAGGACACGGUAGGAUUGACGGACUGAAGGCUCUUUCUCGAUUCCGUGGAAAGUGGUGCAUGGCCGUUUUUGGUUGGUGGAUCGAUCCGUCUGGUUAAUUCCGUUAACGAACGAGACCUCGGCACUCCGAAUAGCGCGGCGGACGUCGCGGCCUCCGGGCCGUCUUCCGCACGAGCUUCUUAGAGGGACCGUCCCCCGCCGGGGAAGGAGGUGCGAGGCAACGACAGGUCUGUGAUGCCCUUAGAUGUUCUGGGCCGCACGCGCAUUACACUGACGCGUCCAACGGGUGACUCCCGACCCGAAGGGGCCGGGGAAUCCGCAAGGCGCGUCGUGAUGGGGAUUGAACGUUGCAAUUGUUGUUCACGAACGAGGAAUUCCUAGUAGGCGCGGGUCAUCAACCCGCGCCGAUUACGUCCCUGCCCUUUGUACACACC
Molecule: ribosomal RNA, 493 nt
Filed under: uncultured eukaryote
Lineage: Eukaryota
Description: bacterial SSU rRNA
Rfam family: Eukaryotic small subunit ribosomal RNA
Source: RNAcentral